CCCUUAGAUGUCCUGGGCUGCACGCGCGCUACACUGAUGUGUCCAGUAAGCACCUAACCUCUUCCGAAAGGAACGGGUAACCUUUGCAAAGCACAUCGUGAUGGGGAUAGAUUAUUGCAAUUAUUAGUCUUGAACGAGGAAUGCCUAGUAGGCGCAAGUCAUCAGCUUGCGUCGAUUACGUCCCUGCCCUUUGUACACACCGCCCGUCGCUCCUACCGAUUGGGUGUGCUGGUGAAAUGUUCGGAUCGGCCGUUUGUCGCGGUUUCCGCGUCAUGUGGCUGAGAAGUUCAUUAAACCCUCCCACCUAGAGGAAGGAGAAGUCGUAACA
This 328-nucleotide ribosomal RNA is filed under the name uncultured eukaryote. Its description in RNAcentral is "partial 18S ribosomal RNA". It matches the Rfam family "Eukaryotic small subunit ribosomal RNA", at positions 1470 to 1796 of the family's 1831-position model. The record is from RNAcentral.